UUUUAUGGAGAGUUUGAUCCUGGCUCAGGAUGAACGCUGGCGGCGUGCCUAAUACAUGCAAGUCGAGCGAACGGACGAGAAGCUUGCUUCUCUGAUGUUAGCGGCGGACGGGUGAGUAACACGUGGAUAACCUACCUAUAAGACUGGGAUAACUUCGGGAAACCGGAGCUAAUACCGGAUAAUAUUUUGAACCGCAUGGUUCAAAAGUGAAAGACGGUCUUGCUGUCACUUAUAGAUGGAUCCGCGCUGCAUUAGCUAGUUGGUAAGGUAACGGCUUACCAAGGCAACGAUGCAUAGCCGACCUGAGAGGGUGAUCGGCCACACUGGAACUGAGACACGGUCCAGACUCCUACGGGAGGCAGCAGUAGGGAAUCUUCCGCAAUGGGCGAAAGCCUGACGGAGCAACGCCGCGUGAGUGAUGAAGGUCUUCGGAUCGUAAAACUCUGUUAUUAGGGAAGAACAUAUGUGUAAGUAACUGUGCACAUCUUGACGGUACCUAAUCAGAAAGCCACGGCUAACUACGUGCCAGCAGCCGCGGUAAUACGUAGGUGGCAAGCGUUAUCCGGAAUUAUUGGGCGUAAAGCGCGCGUAGGCGGUUUUUUAAGUCUGAUGUGAAAGCCCACGGCUCAACCGUGGAGGGUCAUUGGAAACUGGAAAACUUGAGUGCAGAAGAGGAAAGUGGAAUUCCAUGUGUAGCGGUGAAAUGCGCAGAGAUAUGGAGGAACACCAGUGGCGAAGGCGAUUUUCUGGUCUGUAACUGACGCUGAUGUGCGAAAGCGUGGGGAUCAAACAGGAUUAGAUACCCUGGUAGUCCACGCCGUAAACGAUGAGUGCUAAGUGUUAGGGGGUUUCCGCCCCUUAGUGCUGCAGCUAACGCAUUAAGCACUCCGCCUGGGGAGUACGACCGCAAGGUUGAAACUCAAAGGAAUUGACGGGGACCCGCACAAGCGGUGGAGCAUGUGGUUUAAUUCGAAGCAACGCGAAGAACCUUACCAAAUCUUGACAUCCUUUGACAACUCUAGAGAUAGAGCUUUCCCCUUCGGGGGACAAAGUGACAGGUGGUGCAUGGUUGUCGUCAGCUCGUGUCGUGAGAUGUUGGGUUAAGUCCCGCAACGAGCGCAACCCUUAAGCUUAGUUGCCAUCAUUAAGUUGGGCACUCUAAGUUGACUGCCGGUGACAAACCGGAGGAAGGUGGGGAUGACGUCAAAUCAUCAUGCCCCUUAUGAUUUGGGCUACACACGUGCUACAAUGGACAAUACAAAGGGCAGCGAAACCGCGAGGUCAAGCAAAUCCCAUAAAGUUGUUCUCAGUUCGGAUUGUAGUCUGCAACUCGACUACAUGAAGCUGGAAUCGCUAGUAAUCGUAGAUCAGCAUGCUACGGUGAAUACGUUCCCGGGUCUUGUACACACCGCCCGUCACACCACGAGAGUUUGUAACACCCGAAGCCGGUGGAGUAACCUUUUAGGAGCUAGCCGUCGAAGGUGGGACAAAUGAUUGGGGUGAAGUCGUAACAAGGUAGCCGUAUCGGAAGGUGCGGCUGGAUCACCUCCUUUCUAA
RNAcentral lists this ribosomal RNA (1557 nucleotides) under Staphylococcus aureus. Its description in RNAcentral is "16S ribosomal RNA". It matches the Rfam family "Bacterial small subunit ribosomal RNA". The record is from RNAcentral. Lineage: Bacteria; Bacillati; Bacillota; Bacilli; Caryophanales; Staphylococcaceae.